CUACGGGUGGCUCCAGUUAGGAAUAUUCUGCAAUGCGCGCGAGCGUGACAGAUUGAACCAGAGUGUUUUUCAAAUGAAAGACUUUUGUGAAAUGUAAAAAGUUUUACGAAUAAGGACUGGGUAAGACGAGUGCCAGCCGCCGCGGUAAUACUCGCGGUCCAAGUCGCAGCCAUUUUUAUUGGGUCUAAAACAUCCGUAGCUUGCUUGAUAAGUUUCUUGUGAAAUUUUAUAUCUCAAAUAUGAAGCGUGCAAGAAGUACUGUCAAGCUAGAGACUGGAAGACGUAAGAAGUAUGUUUGGAGUAGCGGUAAAAUGUGUUAAUCCCAGACAGACUAACAACAGCGAAGGCAUCUUACGAGGACAGUUCUGACAGUAAGGGAUGAAAGCUAGGGGCGCAAAACGGAUUAGAUACCCCCGUAGUC
RNAcentral lists this ribosomal RNA (421 nucleotides) under uncultured archaeon. RNAcentral's name for it is "partial 16S ribosomal RNA". It matches the Rfam family "Archaeal small subunit ribosomal RNA", at positions 323 to 746 of the family's 1478-position model. The record is from RNAcentral.